This 284-nucleotide long non-coding RNA is filed under the name Ananas comosus (pineapple). RNAcentral's name for it is "long non-coding RNA (ACOM_LNC044630)". Lineage: Eukaryota; Viridiplantae; Streptophyta; Magnoliopsida; Poales; Bromeliaceae. The record is from RNAcentral.
GGCAAUUGCUUAUAUACCCCUGAAAAGUUCCCGACUUUUCGAUUUACCCCUUUUAGAAGGCUAAUAUUGAAAAUACCCCUCCUACGUUCCAACCUAUUUCUAAUAUACCCUUAGAGUUAAAAUCUGUUAAGUAACUCUGUUAUCUCUGUAAAAUUACUAUUUUGCCCUUUCAAAUAUACCCUUCCACCAUCACCGUCUUUCUUAUUUGCCCUUAAAGUCAGGGGCACAAAAAGUGUUUUGACUUUUGGUCUUUUCCAAUAUACCCCUAUACUGUCACCAACUUU